Molecule: ribosomal RNA, 489 nt
Filed under: uncultured bacterium
Lineage: Bacteria
Description: partial 16S ribosomal RNA
Rfam family: Bacterial small subunit ribosomal RNA
Source: RNAcentral
AUGAACGCUAGCGAUAGGCUUAACACAUGCAAGUCGAGGGGCAGCAUGGUCUUAGCUUGCUAAGACUGAUGGCGACCGGCGCACGGGUGCGUAACGCGUAUGCAACUUGCCUCACAGAGGGGGAUAACCCGUCGAAAGACGGACUAAUACCGCGUACACUCUAUUUUGGGCAUCCAAGGUAGAGGAAAUGAAAUUCGCUGUGAGAUAGGCAUGCGUCCCAUUAGCUAGUUGGUGAGGUAACGGCUCACCAAGGCGACGAUGGGUAGGGGAACUGAGAGGUUGAACCCCCACACUGGUACUGAGACACGGACCAGACUCCUACGGGAGGCAGCAGUGAGGAAUAUUGGUCAAUGGGCGAGAGCCUGAACCAGCCAAGUCGCGUGAAGGAUGACUGUCUUAUGGAUUGUAAACUUCUUUUGUAGGGGAAUAAAGAGGGGCACGUGUGCCCCAGUGAAUGUACCCUACGAAUAAGCAUCGGCUAACUCCGUG